AUGGUGCCGCUCAGGUUCAUGCCGGCGAGGUUGAGGCCGGUGACCGCGCCCCGGGCGUUGCAGCUCACGCCCUUCCAGCCGCAAUGCGGCGCAGAGCCCCACCCGCGGAGCUCCCCCAGCGGGUCCACGAGCGAGGCCCUGAUGGCCAGCAGCGCCGCGGCCUCGUCGCCGGCGGCAUUGGACACCGCGACGCAGCACAGGAGCGACAGGGAGAAGGACAGGGAGAAGAAGAACCGCGCAGUGCUACUCAGCCCAGUAGCACUCGCCGCCAUGCUCGGCUCUCCUCUCCUCUGCUCCCCCUUCCCCUUCUCCACUCCUCGGCGCUGCUCAGCUGGUCUCUGCGAUGGAUGA
This 351-nucleotide ribosomal RNA is filed under the name Triticum aestivum (bread wheat). RNAcentral's name for it is "partial small subunit ribosomal RNA". The record is from RNAcentral. Lineage: Eukaryota; Viridiplantae; Streptophyta; Magnoliopsida; Poales; Poaceae.